Molecule: ribosomal RNA, 850 nt
Filed under: Pratylenchus thornei
Lineage: Eukaryota; Metazoa; Nematoda; Chromadorea; Rhabditida; Pratylenchidae
Description: SSU rRNA
Rfam family: Eukaryotic small subunit ribosomal RNA
Source: RNAcentral
AUGCAUGUAUAAGUAUAAACGCUUUAAGCGUGAAACUGCGUACGGCUCAUUACAACAGCAAUAAUUUACUUGAUCUUGACAACCUACAUGGAUAACUGUGGUAAUUCUAGAGCUAAUACAUGCACCAAAGCUCCGACCCGCGAGGGGAGAGCGCAUUUAUUAGAACAAAACCAAGCGGCUUCGGCCGUCCAUUGUUGACUCAGAAUAACUAAGCUGAUCGUACGGUCUUGUACCGACGACGUGUCUUUCAAGUUUCUGCCUUAUCAACUUUCGAUGGUAGUGUAUCUGACUACCAUGGUGGUGACGGGUAACGGAGGAUAAGGGUUCGACUCCGGAGAAGGGGCCUGAGAAAUGGCCACUACGUCUAAGGAUGGCAGCAGGCGCGCAAAUUACCCACUCUCAAUGCGAGGAGGUAGUGACGAGAAAUAACGAGGCCGUUCUCUUUGAGGCCGGUCAUCGGAAUGGGUACAAUUUAAACCCUUUAACGAGUAUCUAUGAGAGGGCAAGUCUGGUGCCAGCAGCCGCGGUAAUUCCAGCUCUCAAAAUGCAUAGAAUUAUUGCUGCGGUUAAAAAGCUCGUAGUUGGAUCUGUGCCUGUGCUCUGGUCCACCUCGCGGUGCGCACUGGGUGUCACAGGCUUUCCUGCAGUGUUCAGCCCCGGCGCCUUCACCGGCACCGGUGUGUUGAUGCUGCAAGUUUACUUUGAACAAAUCGGAGUGCUCCAAACAGGCGUUUGCUUGAACGUUCGUGCAUGGAAUAAUAGAAGAGGAUUUCGGUUCAAUUUUAUUGGUUUUAUUGGCCGAGAUAAUGGUUAACAGAGACAAACGGGGGCAUUUGUAUUGCUGCGUGAG